This is a long non-coding RNA of Peromyscus maniculatus bairdii (prairie deer mouse), 613 nucleotides long. RefSeq lists it as uncharacterized. The record is from RefSeq and is a predicted model, not a curated record. Lineage: Eukaryota; Metazoa; Chordata; Mammalia; Rodentia; Cricetidae.
CUCAAGCUGACAGGAUAGCUCAGCCCUGGAGGUAUCCCAAAUACCUUGACUUGCUUAGUACAGAUCAUCCCUGGAGGGGAAGGUCUCCCAGAUACCUCGAGCUUCUAGGACAGCUCUGAUGGCUGGAUCUGCAAUGAGACAGCUCAGCCCUGGAAGGGAAGGUAUUCUGACUGCUCAGGAGAGUCAGGCCUGUAGCUGCUAGGACAGUUCAUCUCUGGAGGGGAAGGUACCCUAUCUGCUCAGGAGAGUCAGGCCUGGAGCUUCUUGGACAGCUCAGCCUGAAAGGAAUAACGGAAAUACCCAUCUUCCAAAAAUCAUAAGGCCUCAGAUAUCCGGAUGUUUACAAAAGGAAGAAAGAAUCUGUUGGUACCACUUUACACAUGAUCUGUUGUAUCCUAGGAUGGCCACAAAUGCUAUGUGAGCUGGAAAUUGACACUGUAUCUUGGGUCUUCUCAAGUCUCUUCCUCUUGAGUUUUAGUAUCACAGAUGGAUGCCAUCACAUUUGACUUGGCUUUUAACUUUUCUUUUGAUGUGCAUAGGUAUGUUAGUUUAUGAUGGUAUGGAUACAAAUGUGUGAAUAUUGUUGUUCUUCUGCUAAAAUUAGAGUGCAGAA